CGAGGGAGAUGAUGAUGAAGAGGAAGAUAGCUCACAGCAAGCAAGCGGAGAAACCGGUUUUCCUGACAGCCAGGAACUGUUUCUUACCCUGGGCCUGGAACCAGUAUCCCCCGAACCCACACAAGGCUGCCUCCCAGACCCGCCAGGCGGAGAAGGGACCUCUGCUGCAUGUGUUUCAAGGAUCACAGGAUCUUCUCCUUUUCAGAGGCUAGCGAUGAUUCGAAGGCAAAAAAAAUGCACUUGCGAUGAAAUGUUCUCUGAGCUCAUGCUGUCUUCCCACACUGACAGAGCACAGACGAAUGCAUGGAGGCAGACAAUAUCAGAGU
Long non-coding RNA from Dermochelys coriacea (leatherback sea turtle), 326 nucleotides. RefSeq lists it as uncharacterized. The transcript has 3 exons. The record is from RefSeq and is a predicted model, not a curated record. NCBI's taxonomy places the organism in Eukaryota, Metazoa, Chordata, Testudines, Dermochelyidae.